CUCCCUUGUACUUGCAAACUGAAACUUCAGAAGUCAUACUGAACAUUACAGAUGGAUUCUAACUGAAACCACAAGAUGCUUGUAGCACCAUGGCAAGUUAGUUUUGGCUGUUUUGCUCAAACACAAGCUACAGUGAACAAACUGAAACAAGCAGAUAUAGGGGCAUUAGAACUUCACUUCACUUCACUAUUUCCAUGUUGCAAUUGCAUCUGGGAAAGUAUUACAAGUACACAAAUCCUUUGAAUCCUGUAUACCAGUAUGUAUCCCUAUGUACACCCAAAUAAUGAGCUUCCUCUCAAUCAGAACCGACAAAAAAUGGAGAAAGAAGAAGAGGAAUUUAGUGAUCUAUCUAUGGCAUCUACAUCCUUUUGUAUGUAUUUGCAGUGCUUCUCUAACGAAUGAAUCCCCUGGUGUAGAGAAGAAUGAGCAGGGAAACCAAAGUGACAACAUUUAUCAGUCUCUUCACCUUGUCCACUGUCCAGCUUCCUUCAGACAAACUGGGCAGCCUAUCCUCCUGCUCCGUCACCGCAAGAAGCGAACCCAUCAUCUCGUCAUGAAAGACACUGAAUUCG
RNAcentral lists this long non-coding RNA (572 nucleotides) under Oryza brachyantha (malo sina). RNAcentral's name for it is "long non-coding RNA (OBRA_LNC003432)". The record is from RNAcentral. Lineage: Eukaryota; Viridiplantae; Streptophyta; Magnoliopsida; Poales; Poaceae.